This 1976-nucleotide long non-coding RNA is filed under the name Mus musculus (house mouse). Its description in RNAcentral is "long non-coding RNA chr10:78644441-78646417". Lineage: Eukaryota; Metazoa; Chordata; Mammalia; Rodentia; Muridae. The record is from RNAcentral.
AAGAACCAAUUUUUUAAACAAUUGAAGCUGUGCUAUUUUACAUUUCUGUGGUAUCAACAGUUUCCUUUUUCUAUUUUCCCUUUGCUUUUUUUUUUUUUUUAAUUUUAAGACAGGAUCUCAUUAGGUAGCCUUUGCUAGCCCAGUGCAUAAUAUGAACCAGGAUGGCUUCAAACUCAUAGCAAGAUGUUUGCUUUUGCCUUCUAAGUUCUGGAACUAAAGGCACACUCCGUUAUGCUGAGCCCUCAGCAGCUUACAGACUUCCUCAGAUAAAUUUAAUGUCAAGUCAAGAUUAAACACUUCUGUCUUAGUAGUAAUGCUUUGUUUAUAUGUGUAUGUGUUCUGGGGGCUGCUAGGGAUGAAACUUGACCUUGUUCAUGGUAGACAAGAACUCUUCUACUGAGAUACACCCCCAGUCUUCUCUUAGACAAUCUUUCAUGACAUUUCCUAACCACAACCACCACAUUGGGCCAGCUUUCCACUCAUUCUUGAGUCAAUGUGUUUUCUUAUAGGGCUGGCAGUUUAGCUCAGUUGGUAGAGUGCUCGCUCAGCAUGUUCCAAGUCCUGGAUCAGAUCCUGAGCAGCACAGAAAAUUUCUUUGACUUGCAUGCCCAUGAUUCCAGAAUUUUGGAUGUGGAGGCAGCAGGCUCAAGAGUUCACUGUCAUUUGUACAACAAGCUGGAGGCCCCACCAUGGCAGUGCCUUAAGAGGAUUUUCUUAAUCUGGAAAGGCAAAAAACCCAGAAUAAUGAAAACUAUUCUUAACAAUAGAAGAACAGCUGGGAAAAUCACCAUCCCUGACCUCAAGCUUUACUACAGAGCAAUAGUUAUAAAAACUGCAUGGUAUUGGUACAGAGACAAACACAUUGGUCAAUGAAAUAGAAUUGAAGAACCAGAAAUAAAACCACACAUUUAUGGACACUUGAUCUUUGACAAAGAAGCCAAAAAUAUACAAUGAGAAAAAGAAAGCACCUUCAAUAAAUGGUGCUGGUCUUACUGGUUGUCUUUAUGUAGAAGAAUGAAAAUAGACCCAGCCUUGCACAAAGCUCAAGUCCAGGUGUAUUAAGAACCUCAACAUAAAACCAGAUACACUGAAUCCAAUAGAAGAGAAAGUGGGAAAGAGCCUUGAACUCAUUGGCACAGGAGGAAAUUUCCUAAACAGAACUCCAAUGGCUCAUACUCUAAGAUCAAGAAUUGAUAAAUGGGACCUCAUAAAACUGGAAAGCUUCUGUAAGGCAAAGGACAUAGUCAAUAAGACAAAUCAACAACAGACUGGGGAAAAAAACUUCACUAACCUCACAUCCAAUAGAAGCCUAAUAUCCAAAAUAUAUAAGGAACUCAAGAAGUUAAUCACCAACAAAACCAAACAACCCAAUCAAAAAUGGGAUAUAGAAUUAAACCAAGAAUUUACAACAAUGGAAUCUCGAAUGGCUGAGAAUCACCUAAAGAAAUGUUCAAAGUUCUUAGUGAUCAGCGAAAUACAAAUCAAAGUGACCCUGAGAUUCCAUCUUACACCAGUCAGAAUGGCUAAGAUCAAAAACUCAGGUGACAUCACAUGUUGACAAGGAAUACUCCUCCAUUGCUGGUGGGAUUGCAAACUGGUACAGCCACUCUGGAAAUGAACCUGGAGGUUCCUCAGAAAAUUGGAAAUUGAUGACCUGAAGACCCAGCAAUACCACUCUUGGGAAUGUAUCCAAAAGAUGCCCCACUAUGUCACAGGGGCAUAUGUUCCACUAUGUUCAUAGUGGCCUUAUUUGUGAUAGUCAGAAGCUGGAAACAAUCUAGAUGUCCCAUGACAGAAGAAUGGAUACAGAAAAUGUGGUUCAUUUACACAGUGGAAUACUACUCAGCUAUUAUGAAUGAGGACAUCCUGAGUUUUGUAGGGAAAUGGAUGGAUCUAGAAAAUAUCAUCCUGAGUGAACUAACUCAGACCCAAAUGGACAUGCAUGGUAUGUACUCACUAAAAAGUGGAAAUUAGCC